AUGGGUCAAAUUCCUCUCCUUUCCAGGCUGCCUGGUCCAAAGCACAGAGCCGGCCGCCAUCUCUCCGGACAAAAAGGAGCUGAUCGUCUUGUCCCUCUCCAAGCUGCACCGGGACCCGGACCCUUCCGUGCGCCUGGCGGCCUUGCAAGCCGUGCGCAUGGUGCAGGAGGCCAAUGGGGCCUGCGCAACUUCCCCUCGGAGCCAGACCUCCUUGCACCGCCUUUCCAGCCAGGAGCGGCCGGAGGGCUUCUCCAACCGAGGACGAUGGGACCCGCUGGACCCGGCGCUGACCCACCGGUGGAACCCAGCCUCGCCCUCCUCCUACCGGAUCGUGCCCAACAUCGCCAAGAAGAGGCCACCCAACUCCAACCGCCAGGCCUGAUGCCCCGACCCAGACAGAAGGGUCACCGUGUGAAGAAUUGGGGACAACCCAAGGAGAGAGAGGCUCAAGGACGCAGCCCAACAGGAGCAGAGCUGUAGGUGAAAACAGACGGAGACGGGGACUCUGUGGGCUAGAUUCAGCUCCUGUCCUGGAAUGAAGAGUGCUGUCCACACUCGACCCAGUUGAUUCCAUGUUCCCAUCCCAAGGAACUGGAAGCUCAAGGCAAACUCUGGGAAGGUGAGUUUCCAUUGCAGAACAAGAAAGGCUUCUCUGACAGAAGCUUUGCCAACAACACAGGGAGUAAAGCAGGGAUAGAGCCAUAGAUUAAUAGAGAUUGAAAACACCACAUGGGCUAUCUAGUCCAACCCCUUUCUGCCAUGUAGGAAAAGCACAAUCAAAGCACACUCGACAGAUGGCCCUCCGUUUGGACAGAUGGCCAUCCGUUUUUAGAGGUCAUAACCUUUUACAAAACCAGGAAUCUCCAAAGCCUUUUUUGAAGGGUCAACAUUUUGGAAAUUGGGUUGAAGCUGUGGCGCAGGCUGGUGAGCAGUCAGCUGCAGCCAGCUGCAACAAAUCACUCUGACCAAGAGGUCAUGAGUUCGAGGCCAGCUCGGAGCUGCAUUUGUCUCUGUCUUUGUUCUAUGUUAAGGCAUUGAAUGUUUGUCUUAUAUGUGUAAUGUGAUCUGUCCUGAGUCCCCUUCGGGGUGAGAAGGGCGGAAUAUAAAUACUGUAAAUAAACUGUAAAUAAAUAAUAAGCCAGAAAAUAGUAAACUUUUGCCUAUGUGGCUUUGCCUCUGCAUAUGCCCCUCCCUUUCUGUGAGCUGGUGCCUUUCUCCAGGAAGUUCCAAACAGAGAAGAAAGCUCAGAGUAAACAAGUUAGGUCAUUGGUAUCACUUGUGCCAAGUGAGUGUGGAAGGUGAGGAAGACCCUCAGCCAUUGGUCAAUUUUAGAUAAGCCAAGAUAUACAUUCUUUGUUUGAAACGCACAUGUUGCGACGGCCAUUUGCAUGGUACGGACCCAUUAGAGUGGGUGCCUACAGCUGUUUGCCUUAUCAUUAGCUGUGAUAACAAUAAAAGGCUUGCUUUAUUGCUCUCUUGGAAUUCUCUCCUUUACUUCUCCUCCGGGCCAGUCCCCAACAGGAUUGCUGUGAGUUUUCCAGGCUGUGGGAGGGACUACAGACCAUGUGACCAGAUCUGGGACUAUUCAGACUGAGACUCCAUUUAAGAAGUCAGUUUGCAUCAGAAGUCAAGAAAUCAGUACAGUUUAGAAGUCAGUCAGUACAGUAUAUGAUGGAUGUGAAUGAUGGAUGUGAGGUGGAUGUAUUGAGACUCACAGCCUUCCGUCUCAAUAUUCCCCUCAGUUUGGCAAACUCAGCAUCUGCUUGUCAGCACGAACAAAUUAGAUUGUGUCGCUAUCUGCGAACUUGGCAGUAAUCAAUCUUUAUUUACAGUAUUUACAUAGAAGCAGCCGCUGCUGCCCCGAACACAUGUUGCUUGUACCAUUGGAAGCUUCAGAAUCUCUUAAUUUUUCGUGGUUUGAAGAAUUGUAUGUUAAGAGAUUCUGAAGCUCCCAAUGAUCUCUGGGGGGAGGCUUUUCAAGCUGCAAAUCAUGUUCUCAAUAGUAUACGAUUCUCAGUGUUAUAGUAAAGUCAGUGUCAGUAUGCUGCAGUUUGUAUUGAGUCAAUGUUCAGUAAUG
Molecule: long non-coding RNA, 2077 nt
Organism: Anolis carolinensis (green anole)
Lineage: Eukaryota; Metazoa; Chordata; Lepidosauria; Squamata; Anolidae
Source: Ensembl